AGCAGUAGGGAAUCUUCCACAAUGGACGAAAGUCUGAUGGAGCAAUGCCGCGUGAGUGAAGAAGGUUUUCGGAUCGUAAAACUCUGUUGUUGAAGAAGAACAUAUGUGAGAGUAACUGUUCACGUACUGACGGUAUUCAACCAGAAAGCCACGGCUAACUACGUGCCAGCAGCCGCGGUAAUACGUAGGUGGCAAGCGUUGUCCGGACUUAUUGGGCGUAAAGAGAAUGUAGGCGGUUCAUUAAGUUUGAAGUGAAAGCCCUCGGCUCAACCGAGGAAGUGCUUCGAAAACUGGUGAACUUGAGUGCAGAAGAGGAAAGUGGAACUCCAUGUGUAGCGGUGAAAUA
Molecule: ribosomal RNA, 346 nt
Filed under: uncultured Lactobacillus sp.
Lineage: Bacteria; Bacillati; Bacillota; Bacilli; Lactobacillales; Lactobacillaceae
Description: bacterial SSU rRNA
Rfam family: Bacterial small subunit ribosomal RNA
Source: RNAcentral